GGUUGGGGAGCCAGAUUUAAGAACCUUGUGUAAUGCUGAGAUGCUCCAAGAGAAUCCAAGAGAAUGUCAGGAUUAUGCAUGAUGAAGCUAAUCUUUUUCAAUGAAGAACACCCCAAAUACUGAAAAGUAGAAAAAGGACAGAUGGCGUUUCAUGGUGCUGAAAAUCAGACUCUUCUCGAGGAGCUCAUGAGCAAUCAAGGGAGACGGAUGGGUGAGCAACUGAUUAUCAUGUGACAAGUGAGAUAAUAGAGAUAUGACUAAGAUGCUGUCUAAACAAGAAGAAAGGAAUUAUUCAUAAUAUAUGGACUUCUGGGGAACGAUUUCUCAAAUGAAGCCAGCCGGGCG
RNAcentral lists this long non-coding RNA (345 nucleotides) under Pongo abelii (Sumatran orangutan). RNAcentral's name for it is "lncRNA (ENSPPYG00000033518.1)". Lineage: Eukaryota; Metazoa; Chordata; Mammalia; Primates; Hominidae. The record is from RNAcentral.